RNAcentral lists this ribosomal RNA (2892 nucleotides) under Escherichia coli. RNAcentral's name for it is "partial 23S ribosomal RNA". It matches the Rfam family "Bacterial large subunit ribosomal RNA". Lineage: Bacteria; Pseudomonadati; Pseudomonadota; Gammaproteobacteria; Enterobacterales; Enterobacteriaceae. The record is from RNAcentral.
GGUUAAGCGACUAAGCGUACACGGUGGAUGCCCUGGCAGUCAGAGGCGAUGAAGGACGUGCUAAUCUGCGAUAAGCGUCGGUAAGGUGAUAUGAACCGUUAUAACCGGCGAUUUCCGAAUGGGGAAACCCAGUGUGUUUCGACACACUAUCAUUAACUGAAUCCAUAGGUUAAUGAGGCGAACCGGGGGAACUGAAACAUCUAAGUACCCCGAGGAAAAGAAAUCAACCGAGAUUCCCCCAGUAGCGGCGAGCGAACGGGGAGCAGCCCAGAGCCUGAAUCAGUGUGUGUGUUAGUGGAAGCGUCUGGAAAGGCGCGCGAUACAGGGUGACAGCCCCGUACACAAAAAUGCACAUGCUGUGAGCUCGAUGAGUAGGGCGGGACACGUGGUAUCCUGUCUGAAUAUGGGGGGACCAUCCUCCAAGGCUAAAUACUCCUGACUGACCGAUAGUGAACCAGUACCGUGAGGGAAAGGCGAAAAGAACCCCGGCGAGGGGAGUGAAAAAGAACCUGAAACCGUGUACGUACAAGCAGUGGGAGCACGCUUAGGCGUGUGACUGCGUACCUUUUGUAUAAUGGGUCAGCGACUUAUAUUCUGUAGCAAGGUUAACCGAAUAGGGGAGCCGAAGGGAAACCGAGUCUUAACUGGGCGUUAAGUUGCAGGGUAUAGACCCGAAACCCGGUGAUCUAGCCAUGGGCAGGUUGAAGGUUGGGUAACACUAACUGGAGGACCGAACCGACUAAUGUUGAAAAAUUAGCGGAUGACUUGUGGCUGGGGGUGAAAGGCCAAUCAAACCGGGAGAUAGCUGGUUCUCCCCGAAAGCUAUUUAGGUAGCGCCUCGUGAAUUCAUCUCCGGGGGUAGAGCACUGUUUCGGCAAGGGGGUCAUCCCGACUUACCAACCCGAUGCAAACUGCGAAUACCGGAGAAUGUUAUCACGGGAGACACACGGCGGGUGCUAACGUCCGUCGUGAAGAGGGAAACAACCCAGACCGCCAGCUAAGGUCCCAAAGUCAUGGUUAAGUGGGAAACGAUGUGGGAAGGCCCAGACAGCCAGGAUGUUGGCUUAGAAGCAGCCAUCAUUUAAAGAAAGCGUAAUAGCUCACUGGUCGAGUCGGCCUGCGCGGAAGAUGUAACGGGGCUAAACCAUGCACCGAAGCUGCGGCAGCGACGCUUAUGCGUUGUUGGGUAGGGGAGCGUUCUGUAAGCCUGCGAAGGUGUACUGUGAGGUAUGCUGGAGGUAUCAGAAGUGCGAAUGCUGACAUAAGUAACGAUAAAGCGGGUGAAAAGCCCGCUCGCCGGAAGACCAAGGGUUCCUGUCCAACGUUAAUCGGGGCAGGGUGAGUCGACCCCUAAGGCGAGGCCGAAAGGCGUAGUCGAUGGGAAACAGGUUAAUAUUCCUGUACUUGGUGUUACUGCGAAGGGGGGACGGAGAAGGCUAUGUUGGCCGGGCGACGGUUGUCCCGGUUUAAGCGUGUAGGCUGGUUUUCCAGGCAAAUCCGGAAAAUCAAGGCUGAGGCGUGAUGACGAGGCACNNNNNNNNNNNNNNNNNNNNNNNNNNNNNNNNNNNNNNNNNNNNNNNNNNNNNNNNNNNNNNNNNNNNNNNNNNNNNNNNNNNNNNNNNNNNNNNNUACUACGGUGCUGAAGCAACAAAUGCCCUGCUUCCAGGAAAAGCCUCUAAGCAUCAGGUAACAUCAAAUCGUACCCCAAACCGACACAGGUGGUCAGGUAGAGAAUACCAAGGCGCUUGAGAGAACUCGGGUGAAGGAACUAGGCAAAAUGGUGCCGUAACUUCGGGAGAAGGCACGCUGAUAUGUAGGUGAAGCGACUUGCUCGUGGAGCUGAAAUCAGUCGAAGAUACCAGCUGGCUGCAACUGUUUAUUAAAAACACAGCACUGUGCAAACACGAAAGUGGACGUAUACGGUGUGACGCCUGCCCGGUGCCGGAAGGUUAAUUGAUGGGGUUAGCGCAAGCGAAGCUCUUGAUCGAAGCCCCGGUAAACGGCGGCCGUAACUAUAACGGUCCUAAGGUAGCGAAAUUCCUUGUCGGGUAAGUUCCGACCUGCACGAAUGGCGUAAUGAUGGCCAGGCUGUCUCCACCCGAGACUCAGUGAAAUUGAACUCGCUGUGAAGAUGCAGUGUACCCGCGGCAAGACGGAAAGACCCCGUGAACCUUUACUAUAGCUUGACACUGAACAUUGAGCCUUGAUGUGUAGGAUAGGUGGGAGGCUUUGAAGUGUGGACGCCAGUCUGCAUGGAGCCGACCUUGAAAUACCACCCUUUAAUGUUUGAUGUUCUAACGUUGACCCGUAAUCCGGGUUGCGGACAGUGUCUGGUGGGUAGUUUGACUGGGGCGGUCUCCUCCUAAAGAGUAACGGAGGAGCACGAAGGUUGGCUAAUCCUGGUCGGACAUCAGGAGGUUAGUGCAAUGGCAUAAGCCAGCUUGACUGCGAGCGUGACGGCGCGAGCAGGUGCGAAAGCAGGUCAUAGUGAUCCGGUGGUUCUGAAUGGAAGGGCCAUCGCUCAACGGAUAAAAGGUACUCCGGGGAUAACAGGCUGAUACCGCCCAAGAGUUCAUAUCGACGGCGGUGUUUGGCACCUCGAUGUCGGCUCAUCACAUCCUGGGGCUGAAGUAGGUCCCAAGGGUAUGGCUGUUCGCCAUUUAAAGUGGUACGCGAGCUGGGUUUAGAACGUCGUGAGACAGUUCGGUCCCUAUCUGCCGUGGGCGCUGGAGAACUGAGGGGGGCUGCUCCUAGUACGAGAGGACCGGAGUGGACGCAUCACUGGUGUUCGGGUUGUCAUGCCAAUGGCACUGCCCGGUAGCUAAAUGCGGAAGAGAUAAGUGCUGAAAGCAUCUAAGCACGAAACUUGCCCCGAGAUGAGUUCUCCCUGAC